Non-coding RNA from Peptococcaceae bacterium SCADC1_2_3, 377 nucleotides. It matches the Rfam family "Bacterial RNase P class A". From Rfam's summary of the family: Ribonuclease P (RNase P) is a ubiquitous endoribonuclease, found in archaea, bacteria and eukarya as well as chloroplasts and mitochondria. The record is from Rfam. Lineage: Bacteria; Bacillati; Bacillota; Clostridia; Eubacteriales; Peptococcaceae.
UGAGUAAACUGGGUGAUCGCGGGUGUGAUUUUUUAAAGAUUACACUUGAGGAAAGUCCGAGCUCCACAGGGCAGGGUGCUGGGUAACACCCAGUGGGGGCAACCCUAAGGAAAGUGCCACAGAAAUGAAGACCGCCGUUUUGGUCAUCAGUUAACAACUGACGACCAAAACGGUAAGGGUGCAACGGUGCGGUAAGAGCGUACCAGCGGCCGGGUGACCGGCCGGCUAGGUAAACCCCACCUGGAGCAAGACCAAAUAGGGGAAUAACAAGUGGCCCGCUUUAAUUCCCGGGUAAGGUCGCUUGAGGCGGCAGGUAACUGUCGUCCUAGAUAGAUGAUCAUCCUUGACAGAACUCGGCUUACAGGUUUACUCACUUU